AUCUUCAGGGCGGGGUGCAAUUCCCCACCGGCGGUGACGGAUGGUUUUCAUCCCCAGUCCGCGAACGCGCAAGCGCCGAACCGGUGCGACUCCGGUACCGACAGUACAGUCUGGAUGGAAGAAGAU
This 126-nucleotide non-coding RNA is filed under the name uncultured Faecousia sp. Its description in RNAcentral is "FMN riboswitch (RFN element)". It matches the Rfam family "FMN riboswitch aptamer (RFN element)". Rfam says of the family: The RFN element is a highly conserved domain that is found frequently in the 5'-untranslated regions of prokaryotic mRNAs that encode for flavin mononucleotide (FMN) biosynthesis and transport proteins. Lineage: Bacteria; Bacillati; Bacillota; Clostridia; Eubacteriales; Oscillospiraceae. The record is from RNAcentral.